This 549-nucleotide ribosomal RNA is filed under the name Atlantoxerus getulus (Barbary ground squirrel). RNAcentral's name for it is "partial 16S ribosomal RNA". It matches the Rfam family "Bacterial large subunit ribosomal RNA", at positions 1821 to 2595 of the family's 2925-position model. Lineage: Eukaryota; Metazoa; Chordata; Mammalia; Rodentia; Sciuridae. The record is from RNAcentral.
UCUAGCAUAACCAGUAUUAGAGGCACUGCCUGCCCAGUGACAUCUGUUCAACGGCCGCGGUAUUCUGACCGUGCAAAGGUAGCAUAAUCACUUGUUCCUUAAUUAGGGACUUGUAUGAAUGGCUUAACGAGGGUUCAACUGUCUCUUACUUCCAAUCAGUGAAAUUGACCUUCCCGUGAAGAGGCGGGAAUAAAGCAAUAAGACGAGAAGACCCUAUGGAGCUUAAAUUCAUUAUUUCAAGCACAAUAAUAUUUACCAACUACCACGGUUAAUCCUAAAAUACGCUAGUGAUUUAAUAAUUUUGGUUGGGGUGACCUCGGAGAACAAACAAACCUCCGAAUGAUAAUAAUCAAGACUUACCCGUCUAAAUCUACAAAUCAUCAAUUGACCCAAACUAUUUGAUCAACGGAACAAGUUACCCUAGGGAUAACAGCGCAAUCCUACUCAAGAGUUCAUAUCGACAGUUAGGGUUUACGACCUCGAUGUUGGAUCAGGACAUCCAAAUGGUGCAGCAGCUAUUAAUGGUUCGUUUGUUCAACGAUUAAAGUC